Molecule: ribosomal RNA, 449 nt
Filed under: uncultured Fibrobacter sp.
Lineage: Bacteria; Pseudomonadati; Fibrobacterota; Fibrobacteria; Fibrobacterales; Fibrobacteraceae
Description: bacterial SSU rRNA
Rfam family: Bacterial small subunit ribosomal RNA
Source: RNAcentral
ACGGGAGGCAGCAGUAGGGAAUAUUGCACAAUGGGGGAAACCCUGAUGCAGCAACGCCACGUGUGGGAAGAAGCAUUUCGGUGUGUAAACCACUGUCGUGAGGGAAUAAAGCUGGAGUUGUCCAGUUGAAUGUACCUCGAAAGGAAGCACCGGCAAACUUCGUGCCAGCAGCCGCGGUAAUACGAGGGGUGCAAGCGUUGUUCGGAAUCACUGGGCGUAAAGGGAGCGCAGGCGGAAGUGCAAGCGGUCUGUACAAUACCGGGGCCCAACCCCGGACCUGCAGACCGGACUGUGUCUCUUGGAUAGUUCAGGGGCAGGCGGAAUUCCUGGUGUAGCGGUGGAAUGCGUAGAGAUCAGGGAGAACACCGAUGGCGAAGGCAGCCUGCUGGGGACUCAUCGACGCUGAGGCUCGAAAGUGCGGGUAGCAAACAGGAUUAGAUACCCUGGUA